Molecule: long non-coding RNA, 600 nt
Filed under: Carica papaya (papaya)
Lineage: Eukaryota; Viridiplantae; Streptophyta; Magnoliopsida; Brassicales; Caricaceae
Description: long non-coding RNA (CPAP_LNC016078)
Source: RNAcentral
AAAAAAGAUAGGAGAAUUUAUCUUAGACAUUUACUUUCUAUAUAAAUAGGAAUUGAAGUUUGAGGAUCCAUUAUACGGAUUGAGGUGUGCACUAGGUAAAUCAGAUAAGGUGAGUAUAGAAAGGAGAUUUUUGACAUGUUAAUUGUAUGAUACAAUAAGCUUAGCUACUAAUAGAUCAUAGAUUUUAUUAAUUUGCACAACUAGAAAAGGAAAAGUUAGAAUCUUUCAAGAAAAUUUUAGAAAAAAAAUGAAAGUGAAAGAAAAGAGAUAAAAGAGAGAGCAAUAGAGAAAUGUAGGAAUAAGAUAGGAUAGAGUAGAAGAGCUAACUAUUUAUAAGGUAAACAUAGGAUGAUACCAUUGAAAAGGAGAAACUAGUCACUAACAUCCAUUAACAUGGGAACAUGAAUUUCAUGCACCAAAAUGCCCUCAUUAAAAGCUUGUGACUAUGUUCAUUUAUCACAAUUAAGCACACACUACAAUGAAGUUUUUAAGAAUUUUCAUAAAUGAUCAUAAACAUGGUGUUUGAAUAGUUAAGAUUCUUACAUUUUUUUGGAAGAUAACAAGUCUGUAUCUUAUUAAAAUGUAAAAUUUAUCACUUUU